RNAcentral lists this ribosomal RNA (475 nucleotides) under Streptococcus sanguinis. RNAcentral's name for it is "bacterial SSU rRNA". It matches the Rfam family "Bacterial small subunit ribosomal RNA", at positions 28 to 487 of the family's 1533-position model. Lineage: Bacteria; Bacillati; Bacillota; Bacilli; Lactobacillales; Streptococcaceae. The record is from RNAcentral.
GACGAACGCUGGCGGCGUGCCUAAUACAUGCAAGUAGAACGCUGAAGAGAGGAGCUUGCUCUUCUUGGAUGAGUUGCGAACGGGUGAGUAACGCGUAGGUAACCUGCCUGGUAGCGGGGGAUAACUAUUGGAAACGAUAGCUAAUACCGCAUGAAAUUGCUUAUCGCAUGAUAAUUAAUUGAAAGAUGCAAUUGCAUCACUACCAGAUGGACCUGCGUUGUAUUAGCUAGUUGGUGAGGUAACGGCUCACCAAGGCGACGAUACAUAGCCGACCUGAGAGGGUGAUCGGCCACACUGGGACUGAGACACGGCCCAGACUCCUACGGGAGGCAGCAGUAGGGAAUCUUCGGCAAUGGGGGGAACCCUGACCGAGCAACGCCGCGUGAGUGAAGAAGGUUUUCGGAUCGUAAAGCUCUGUUGUAAGAGAAGAACGGGUGUGAGAGUGGAAAGUUCACACGGGGACGGAUCUACCAGA